AUUCAGAGAACCUGGAUAAAAAUGGGCAUCCUGAGCCAACUCCUCCUUUCCAAAGGAAGAACAAAACAGGAUAGGUGCAGAGACUCAAUGGAAGCUGUUCUAACAAAUGGAGUUGACGAUCUCGCGUUUUUAGUUAUUAAAGGAUGAAGAAUCAACCUAUACGCAGACAUACUUAAAUAUAAAUACUAUAAAUACUACUAGUUAUUAUUUAUUAUUAUUAUAUAUAAUAAAACUAUAACUUAACUAAUAAUUAUAAUUAACUAAUAACUAAUUAAUUAAUAAUUUUUAUUAUAAUUAUAAUAAGAAUAUUAAUAUUCAUUUUUAUGACUAUGAUAUGAAAAGAUGGCAGAAUUGUUGUAAAGCGAUUCCAAGUUGAAGAAAGAAUCGACUAUUCGUUUAAUGUUUAAUAAAUUAAAGCGUUUAGAAGAACCGAUCCAUCGGAUGAGAAUGAAGAUAGAGUCCCAUUCUACGUGUCAAUCCUGACAACAAUGAAAUUUAUAGUAAGAGGA
This 509-nucleotide non-coding RNA is filed under the name Rumex roseus. The record is from RNAcentral. Lineage: Eukaryota; Viridiplantae; Streptophyta; Magnoliopsida; Caryophyllales; Polygonaceae.